CCAGAAUCCAGAACUAGCCACACUAUACACACACACACACACACACACACACACCAAGGGUACCCACACUGUAACAACAAUUAAACAAAGAACCACAGAAUGACAGAGAGUAAAAUGGUCAUGUACAUGUUAACACCACUAGUACCAAAUAUUUAAAAUGUAGCAAUCCCCAGCCCUCCCCCACCAGGCUGGCCCCAUUAUAACACAAGUACCAAUGAAAC
Pelobates cultripes (western spadefoot toad) is the source of this 221-nucleotide non-coding RNA. NCBI's taxonomy places the organism in Eukaryota, Metazoa, Chordata, Amphibia, Anura, Pelobatidae. The record is from the annotation of a GenBank genome assembly.